This is a long non-coding RNA of Harmonia axyridis, 811 nucleotides long. RefSeq lists it as uncharacterized. Lineage: Eukaryota; Metazoa; Arthropoda; Insecta; Coleoptera; Coccinellidae. The transcript is spliced from 2 exons. The record is from RefSeq and is a predicted model, not a curated record.
GGCGGUCCAUAUGGGGAGGAAAGACGGGACCGAAUAUCCUAGGUGAUUGAAUGACUGACUAUACAGAAGAUUUUCAAUUUAUUUACAAACAAUGUAUUUCCUAACAUUGGUAGGAACUGUUGACUAGAUUAGACAAUCACAAAUUAUUAUGUCUAUAGAUGACAAUCUUUGUAAACUUACUUUUGAUGUUAUAGCACUUGAAUAUAUUGCUAGUCUUAUAUUAAAAUGAUUCAGAUGUUGCUAAGUUCCUAAAAAUUCCAAGAUCUUGACUAGAUUUCAAGACAAGAAGUAAUUUUAGAUUUCAAGACAAGACAAGAAAUUUCAAGUCAAUAUUAAGACUCCUUGGCAUACAAAAAUAAGAAACCUUGGAAUAUCUUUACUAUAACGAAAACGCUAAAACGUAGAUAUUUAAUUAUGAAAAAAUUACAUAUUUCAACAUAACAUAUGCAUUUUGAUUCAUUGAACAUAUUUUCUGCUGAAUCGAUUCACAAAAAUAUAAAUUAAAAAUAUUUGAUGAUAGUUCUGUUGAAACUAAAAUUGCAAACUAGAUAUGAACUUUUUUUAAACCGAAAUCAGACCAUAAGACUUCGAUUUCUUGACUUUGUUUUUGUUAGAGCUGCUCUCGAAAUUAGCUUUCCGCAGGUCCAUACAUAUAAAGGGCAAGAAAUUGUUAUCAAGUCAAGAAUUCUUGUCUUGUCGAUUACUGUGAUUGUUAUAGCACUUGAAGAUAUUACCAAAAUUUGUAAAAUACAGACAUUCUGACGAAAUAAUAGAACGAUCUGUUGAGGGGACACAAAAAAAAAUAAUGAAC